This 950-nucleotide non-coding RNA is filed under the name Mugil capurrii (narrowhead grey mullet). RNAcentral describes it as "partial 12S ribosomal RNA". It matches the Rfam family "Bacterial small subunit ribosomal RNA". The record is from RNAcentral. Lineage: Eukaryota; Metazoa; Chordata; Actinopteri; Mugiliformes; Mugilidae.
AAAGGCUUGGUCCUGACUUUUCUAUCGUUUUUAGCUAAGCUUACACAUGCAAGUAUCCGCCCCCCUGUGAGAAUGCCCUACAGUUCCCCACCCGGGAACAAGGAGCUGGUAUCAGGCACAGACUAACAAACUACCGCCCACGACACCUUGCUUAGCCACACCCCCAAGGGAUUUCAGCAGUGAUAAAUAUUAAGCUAUAAGUGAAAACUUGACUUAGCUACAGCUACUUAGGGCCGGUAAAACUCGUGCCAGCCACCGCGGUUAUACGAGAGGCCCAAAUUGAUAGAUUCCGGCGCAAAGAGUGGUUAAGUAAUUUUAUAUAACUAAAGCCGAACGCCUUCAAGACUGUCGUACGUGUUCGAAGGCAUGAAGCCCAACUACGAAAGUGGCUUUAACUACGUCCGAACCCACGAAAGCUGCGUAACAAACUGGGAUUAGAUACCCCACUAUGCCCAGCCCUAAACUUUGAUAGUUAACUACAUUAACUAUCCGCCUGGGUACUACGAGCCCCUGCUUAAAACCCAAAGGACUUGGCGGCGCUUAAGAUCCAUCUAGAGGAGCCUGUUCUAGAACCGAUACCCCCCGUUCAACCUCACCCUUCCUAGUUUUUUCCGCCUAUAUACCGCCGCCGUCAGCUCACCCAUAAAAGGUCUAGAAGUAGGCAAGAUUGGUAAGACCCUAAACGCCAGGUCGAGGUGUAGUGUAUGGAAGGGGAAGAAAUGGGCUACAUUUCCUUACCAGGAAACACGAACAAUGGACUGAAAUAAACAUUUAGAAGGAGGAUUUAGCAGUAAAUGAAAAACAGAGUGUUUCAUUGAAACUGGCUCUAAAGCGCGCACAUACCGCCCGUCACUCUCCCCCCAAAAUGACUUUACUUACAUAAGCACCUAUAUAUUAAACAAGGGGAGACAAGUCGUAACAUGGUAAGUGUACCGGAAGGUGCACUUGGA